Molecule: ribosomal RNA, 558 nt
Filed under: uncultured bacterium
Lineage: Bacteria
Description: partial 16S ribosomal RNA
Rfam family: Bacterial small subunit ribosomal RNA
Source: RNAcentral
UGGGGAAUUUUGGACAAUGGGGGAAACCCUGAUCCAGCCAUCCCGCGUGUGCGAUGAAGGCCUUCGGGUUGUAAAGCACUUUUGGCAGGAAAGAAACGUCGCGGGUUAAUACCCCGCGAAACUGACGGUACCUGCAGAAUAAGCACCGGCUAACUACGUGCCAGCAGCCGCGGUAAUACGUAGGGUGCAAGCGUUAAUCGGAAUUACUGGGCGUAAAGCGUGCGCAGGCGGUUCGGAAAGAAAGAUGUGAAAUCCCAGAGCUUAACUUUGGAACUGCAUUUUUAACUACCGGGCUAGAGUGUGUCAGAGGGAGGUGGAAUUCCGCGUGUAGCAGUGAAAUGCGUAGAUAUGCGGAGGAACACCGAUGGCGAAGGCAGCCUCCUGGGAUAACACUGACGCUCAUGCACGAAAGCGUGGGGAGCAAACAGGAUUAGAUACCCUGGUAGUCCACGCCCUAAACGAUGUCAACUAGCUGUUGGGGCCUUCGGGCCUUGGUAGCGCAGCUAACGCGUGAAGUUGACCGCCUGGGGAGUACGGUCGCAAGAUUAAAACUUAAAU